GAUGAACGCUGGCGGCGUGCUUAACACAUGCAAGUCGAGCGGGAUAUGGGGGUUUACUCUCAUAUCUAGCGGCGGACGGGUGAGUAACGUGUGGGCAACCUGCCCUAUGCAUGGGGAUAACAUUCGGAAACGGAUGCUAAUACCCAAUAAUCUUUCUGGUCUCGCAUGACCCGGAAAGAAAAGAUUUAUCGGCAUAGGAGGGGCCCGCAUCUGAUUAGCUAGUUGGUGGGGUAACGGCCUACCAAGGCGACGAUCAGUAGCCGACCAGAGAGGGUGAUCGGCCACAUUGGGACUGAGACACGGCCCAAACUCCUACGGGAGGCAGCAGUGGGGAAUAUUGCACAAUGGAGGGAACUCUGAUGCAGCAACGCCGCGUGAAGGAAGAAGUAAUUCGUUAUGUAAACUUCUAUCAACAGGGAAGAAAGAAAUGACGGUACCUGAAUAAGAAGCCCCGGCUAACUACGUGCCAGCAGCCGCAGUAAAAC
This 485-nucleotide ribosomal RNA is filed under the name uncultured bacterium. RNAcentral describes it as "bacterial SSU rRNA". It matches the Rfam family "Bacterial small subunit ribosomal RNA", at positions 28 to 526 of the family's 1533-position model. The record is from RNAcentral.